Molecule: ribosomal RNA, 253 nt
Filed under: uncultured bacterium
Lineage: Bacteria
Description: partial 16S ribosomal RNA
Rfam family: Bacterial small subunit ribosomal RNA
Source: RNAcentral
UACGGAGGGUGCAAGCGUUGCUCGGAAUUAUUGGGCGUAAAGGGUAGGUAGGUGGUCUCAUUUGUCUGGGGUGAAAGCCUUGAGCUUAACUCAAGAAGUGCCCCAGAAACGGUGAGACUGGAGUCCUGGAGAGGGUCGUGGAAUUCCCGGUGUAGCGGUGAAAUGCGUAGAUAUCGGAAGGAACAUCAGUGGCGAAAGCGGCUUCCGGGACCAGUACCGACGUUCAGGCACGAAAGCGUGGGGAGCAAACAGG